CCAAUAUUCACUACAGAAGAAUUUGCGGCGGUGUACAUACGGCGGUUUACUAAAAAUGCCACAAAUACCAUAUAUUAUAGCGGUUUUUCAUCCGCCGUAUCAAACGUUUCAAAACCGGCGGUCUAAUGUACAUGUUGGCCGGCUUAAAACGUCGAAUACUCACAAAUUAGGAGUCCCCUUACUCUCUCAAACCCUAUUCUCUGCCUUUCUCGCGCAAGUGAUCGGUGGCGAUUCCAUUUUCUUCUCCUCUUCUCGCCAUGUCUCCUAUGAAGCUCACAGAUUCAGGCAGAAGAGGAGAUUUUGUAAAUUGUGUAUUUCUUUUUCCUUGUGAAUAGUGAUGGGCGAAAGAGAGUUGUGGAAGCAGAUGCUGGAGUUGUCGCCGAAGCAAAAUCGGCUACAGAGACAGAAGGUGAAAGUGCUUAGUAGACUCCAGGAUUUAAAUCUCGAAGAGGUUAACUCCCUGGCUUUGAAGAUCAACUUUGGCUUCAAUUUAAUCACCUACCUGUUCGGUUAACUUCGUAAACCCCAUCUUUCCUCAUUUUUUGAUUUUUUGCUAUUUGUACUGGUUAAUUGAGUAAUUGAUCCAUUUUUUGCCUCAUAAGCUUAAGUUUUGAAGUUUUUGUUACUGAAUUCGGGUGCGUGCAAACAUUUGUUGAAUGUGAAUGUGGAAAGAGCAGAAGAUGUACUUAUGCAUAAGAGAUGAUGGACAUAACAGGGGAUCCUAAGAAUGCCUUUGAUAUCCACCUUGUGUAGGUUACACUCUUAUCUGCUUUUCAAGCAUUUUGAUGUGUGCUUGCCUUGUAUAUGCAUUUUCUCUUGAUAAUUCUAGAAACCGACAUCAAGUUGAAAUGACAUUUGAAAAACUUCAUUGUGAUCGUAGCUGAUGUAUAAGAGAUGAUGGACAUUGCAGGGGAUCCUGAAAAUGCCUUUGAUAUCCACCUUGUGUAGGUUACACUCUUACCUGCUUUUCGAGCAUUUUGAUGUGUGCUUGCCUUGUAUAUGCAUUUUCUCUUGAUAACUCUAAAAACCGACAUCAAGUUGAAAUGACAUUUGAAAAACUGCAUUGUGAUCGUAGCUGAUUAAGUUGGGGAUUUGAUUCACCGCCUAAGAUGUUCCCAAGAAGCACAUGAUCUGUUAUGUGAUUGCUUUUAAGGUAGUUGAGAGCAGUACUUGGUUUCCCACCAAGAGCUUUGCCUCCACCACCGCCAGAAGGUCUUCAUCUGGAAUUAGGAUGAUGCAGAUACUUUAUGGAAAUUAUACUGAUGAAAAACACUAUGCUACUAAGGUAAAAUUUCUAACAUAUCUAGUUAGCAUUAGUGAAUUUACUUUAGUAUUCUGUCAUGAUAUUUACUUGGAUUCAUUGUGUACUUAGUUGUAUUUUCAUUGGAUAGGUAUUGCUCUUACUUUGUUUGUAUUUGUUUGGCUAAGUCCUUAUCAUUACUACAUGUGUUGCAAUAGUUGUAUUUUCAUUGGAUAGGUAUUGCUCUUACCUUUUUUGUAUUUGUUUGGCUGAGUCCUUUUUAUCAUUACUGCAUGCAUGUGUUGCAAUACCUAGAACUUGAAUGUCUCAAACCAGAUAUAACACUCUCUCUUCAUGAGUAAUUAAUGUGUUUGGCAUAUAGAAGUUGUUGUAACUGUUGUAUAGCAUUAGUGAAUAUGAUGCAUUGAGAGGCAUAGGGAAUCAUGGAAAGUUGUGGCACUUAUCCUCGUAGCAUCGCCGAAUGGUACACAACUCACACUAGAAAUGAAUCUAGUUCUAUAGAAUUUAAUCUCAGAUCACAGGUAAGUUAAAUCAAGUUCUUGUUUUUAUCCCUGAAAGAUAGGUUAAUCAAGUAUUGAUUCAAUUGUUACUUAACUUAGGUAAGAAGAACACAAAUAAGGGGAAUUUGAGGAAGCUGCAAGAGCUUGUCCCUAAUAUGGACAAGGUAAGGUGACAUUCAUUCACCUGAUAGCCAAAAAGAUCACCAGAUGAAUCUUACCACCGUAGAUCAUGUGAGUCCUCAUCGUAUGGUACUUUUAAAAUAUGAUAUGGUUAAUUUUCUUCAAGGAAAUGGAUGUAAAACAUUACUCCUUAAUAUUUUAAGAAUUUCAUUAUGUAACUUUGAAAUACUUAUGUUUUCCAUAAAUGGUGAAUGACUUGUUUCACUAA
This is a long non-coding RNA of Solanum tuberosum (potato), 2149 nucleotides long. RefSeq lists it as uncharacterized. NCBI's taxonomy places the organism in Eukaryota, Viridiplantae, Streptophyta, Magnoliopsida, Solanales, Solanaceae. The transcript has 3 exons. The record is from RefSeq and is a predicted model, not a curated record.